CAGUCGCCGCGGGAAUACAGAGGGUGCGAGCGUUAAUCGGAUUUACUGGGCGUAAAGCGUGCGUAGGCGGCUUCUUAAGUCGGAUGUGAAAUCCCUGAGCUUAACUUAGGAAUUGCAUUCGAUACUGGGAAGCUAGAGUAUGGGAGAGGAUGGUAGAAUUCCAGGUGUAGCGGUGAAAUGCGUAGAGAUCUGGAGGAAUACCGAUGGCGAAGGCAGCCAUCUGGCCUAAUACUGACGCUGAGGUACGAAAGCAUGGGGAGCAAACAGGAUUAGAUACCCCUGUAGCCCUGUCUCUUAUACA
This 301-nucleotide ribosomal RNA is filed under the name uncultured bacterium. RNAcentral describes it as "partial 16S ribosomal RNA". It matches the Rfam family "Bacterial small subunit ribosomal RNA", at positions 509 to 809 of the family's 1533-position model. The record is from RNAcentral.